CCUACGGGAGGCAGCAGUAAGGAAUAUUGGACAAUGGUCGCAAGACUGAUCCAGCCAUGCCGCGUGAAGGAUGAAGGCCCUAUGGGUUGUAAACUUCUUUUGUAUGGGAAAAAACCCCUCUACGUGUAGAGGGCUGAUUGUACCAUAAGAAUAAGGAUCGGCUAACUCCGUGCCAGCAGCCGCGGUAAUACGGAGGAUCCAAGCGUUAUCCGGAUUCAUUGGGUUUAAAGGGUGCGUAGGCGGAAUGAUAAGUCAGUGGUGAAAGCCUGCAGCUUAACUGCAGAACUGCCAUUGAUACUGUCAAUCUUGAGUACAUUUGAUGAGGGCGGAAUGUGUCAUGUAGCGGUGAAAUGCUUAGAUAUGACACAGAACACCGAUUGCGAAGGCAGCUCUCAAAACUGUAACUGACGCUGAGGCACGAAAGCGUGGGUAUCAAACAGGAUUAGAUACCCUGGUAGUCCACGCUGUAAACUAUGAUUACUCGAUGUUUGCGAUACACUGUAAAGCGUCUAAGCGAAAGCGAUAAGUUAAUUCCACCUUGGGGAGUACGCUUCGCAAGAGUUGAAACUUCAAAAGGAAUUGACGGNGUUGGAGAGNGCGAGGACGACACGAGGGAGAAGG
Molecule: ribosomal RNA, 621 nt
Filed under: uncultured bacterium
Lineage: Bacteria
Description: bacterial SSU rRNA
Rfam family: Bacterial small subunit ribosomal RNA
Source: RNAcentral